CCUACGGGUGGCAGCAGUGGGGGAUAUUGCACAAUGGGGGGAACCCUGAUGCAGCGACGCCGCGUGGGUGAAGGAGCGUUUCGGCGCGUAAAGCCCUAUCGGCAGGGAGGAGGGAGGACGGUACCUGACUAAGAAGCCCCGGCUAACUACGUGCCAGCAGCCGCGGUAAUACGUAGGAUGCGAGCGUUAUCCGGAUUUAUGGGGUUUAAAGGGUGCGUAGGGGGAGCGUUAAGUAGGUGGUCAAAUUGAGGGGCUCAACCCCUUCCCGCCAUUGAAACUGGCGCUCUUGAGUGGAAGAGAAGUAUGCGGAAUGCGUGGUGUAGGGGGGAAAUGCAUAGAUAUCACGCAGAACCCCGAUUGCGAGGGCAGCAUGCCGGCUUCCUACGGACGCUGAAGCACGAAAGCGUGGGGAUCGAACAGGAUUAGAUACCCUGGUAGUC
RNAcentral lists this ribosomal RNA (440 nucleotides) under uncultured bacterium. Its description in RNAcentral is "partial 16S ribosomal RNA". It matches the Rfam family "Bacterial small subunit ribosomal RNA", at positions 338 to 795 of the family's 1533-position model. The record is from RNAcentral.